RNAcentral lists this ribosomal RNA (553 nucleotides) under uncultured Acidobacteriota bacterium. RNAcentral's name for it is "bacterial SSU rRNA". It matches the Rfam family "Bacterial small subunit ribosomal RNA", at positions 35 to 618 of the family's 1533-position model. Lineage: Bacteria; Pseudomonadati; Acidobacteriota. The record is from RNAcentral.
GCUGGCGGCGCGCUUAACACAUGCAAGUCGAACGAGAAAGCAGGAGCAAUCUUGUGAGUAAAGUGGCGUACGGGUGAGUAACACGUGGAUCAUCUACCUCUUUGUGGGGGAUAACCCUGGGAAACCGGAGCUAAUACCGCAUAAGUCCGUGAGGAGAAAGCAGCAAUGCGCAGAGAGAGGAGUCCGCGGCCGAUUAGUUAGUUGGUAGGGUAAAAGCCUACCAAGACAAAGAUCGGUAGCCGGCCUGAGAGGGCACACGGCCACACUGGCACUGAAACACGGGCCAGACUCCUACGGGAGGCAGCAGUGGGGAAUCUUGCACAAUGGGGGCAACCCUGAUGCAGCGACGCCGCGUGAGCGAUGAAGCCCUUCGGGGUGUAAAGCUCUUUCGGCAGGGAAGAUUAUGACGGUACCUGCAGAAGCAGCUGCGGCUAACUACGUGCCAGCAGCCGCGGUAAUACGUAGGCAGCGAGCGUUGUUCGGAGUUACUGGGCGUAAAGGGUGUGUAGGCGGUUUUCUAAGUCUGGUGUGAAAUCUCCCGGCUCAACUGGGA